GGCGACGGGUGAGGAACACGUGAAGAAUCUGCCCUCCACUUUGGGAUAACACCGGGAAACCGGUGCUAAUACCGAAUAUUGAAACAUAAGUGGCAUCACUGAGUUUUGAAAGAAUUUCGGUGGAAGAUGACUUCGCGGCCUAUCAGCUUGUUGGUGAGGUAACGGCUCACCAAGGCGACGACGGGUAGCCGGCCUGAGAGGGCGACCGGCCACACUGGGACUGAGACACGGCCCACACUCCUACGGGAGGCAGCAGUGGGGAAUAUUGGGCAAUGGAGGAAACUCUGACCCCCCGACGCCCCGUGAGGGAUGAAGGCCUUCGGGUUGUAAACCUCUUUCAGUAGGGAAGAAGCGAAAGUGACGGUACCUACUGAAGAAGCACCGGCUAACUAUGUGCCACCAGCCGCGGCAAUACAUAGGGUGCAAGCGUUGUCCGGAAUUAUUGGGCGUAAAGAGCUCGUAGGUGGU
RNAcentral lists this ribosomal RNA (468 nucleotides) under uncultured bacterium. Its description in RNAcentral is "bacterial SSU rRNA". It matches the Rfam family "Bacterial small subunit ribosomal RNA", at positions 97 to 579 of the family's 1533-position model. The record is from RNAcentral.